AACAAAUUGGAACGGAACAGUUUCCAAACAGUGAAGCAGGUUUUUCCAAACUCAUCCCUAACUGAACAUGAGGAUGAAUUGGCAUUAGGCGAACACAGUCAGUUAUUCAGUCUACCACCUGACAGUGUGUUAAAGUUAAAUUCUGUUAGUGCUGCACUAAAAGAAUUGUUAGUAAUAAGUCCAUGCAGCGAAGGAAGUGAACAAUUGUGGGACCGUAUUUGGGCUGAAAAUGGGUGUGGUACGGAAACCCAGAAAUAGCACGAGUUCAACAUAAAACAUGAAUUAGAAUUUUAGCGGGGGAUCAAGUCAAGUCUGGAAGUGUUACAGGAGGGAAGAGUGAGCCUAUAGUUGAAAAACAUUGAAAGUGCAUUACCAUUAAG
Molecule: long non-coding RNA, 380 nt
Organism: Daphnia carinata
Lineage: Eukaryota; Metazoa; Arthropoda; Branchiopoda; Diplostraca; Daphniidae
Exons: 3
Source: RefSeq, a predicted model, not a curated record